GGAGACGUGGCCGAGUGGUCGAAGGCACACCCCCUGCUAAGGGUGCAUCUGGGCAAAACCUGGAUCCAGGGUUCGAAUCCCUGCGUCUCCGCCA
Molecule: transfer RNA, 94 nt
Filed under: Sulfuritalea sp.
Lineage: Bacteria; Pseudomonadati; Pseudomonadota; Betaproteobacteria; Nitrosomonadales; Sterolibacteriaceae
Description: tRNA-Ser
Rfam family: tRNA
About the family: Transfer RNA (tRNA) molecules are approximately 80 nucleotides in length. Their secondary structure includes four short double-helical elements and three loops (D, anti-codon, and T loops).
Source: RNAcentral